UCCGGUUUAUCACCAGCAGUCUCACUAGAGUGCUCUAUCCGUAGCAACUAGUGACAAGGGUUGCGCUCGUUGCGGGACUUAACCCAACAUCUCACGACACGAGCUGACGACAGCCAUGCAGCACCUGUGUUCGAGUUCCCUUUCGGGCACUCCCGCAUCUCUGCAGGAUCCUCGACAUGUCAAGGGUAGGUAAGGUUCUUCGCGUUGCAUCGAAUUAAUCCACAUCAUCCACCGCUUGUGCGGGUCCCCGUCAAUUCCUUUGAGUUUUAAUCUUGCGACCGUACUCCCCAGGCGGUCGACUUCAUGCGUUAGCUGCGUUACUGAGAUCAUAAUAACCCCAACAACUAGUCGACAUCGUUUAGGGCGUGGACUAC
This 374-nucleotide unclassified non-coding RNA is filed under the name uncultured Gammaproteobacteria bacterium. RNAcentral's name for it is "contains 16S-23S intergenic spacer region". Lineage: Bacteria; Pseudomonadati; Pseudomonadota; Gammaproteobacteria. The record is from RNAcentral.